AAAAGUAGUUUUUGCUCACUUUAUGGGAGGACUUUGCUGACAUUGAAGGAACCGAGCUUUCGGGAAAAAUUGAAAAAAAUGAAGGAUAUCCUGUAAUUCUGGGAAGAAGUAACUUUUCGCCUUUAUACAUAUAUUUUAUAAAAAAUACCACCAACACUAUCCUGUUUCUUGACUGCUUCUCCAGAAUUGCUGGAGAAAUUUAAUUUGUGUCACAAAAAUACAAUUUCUUUCAGAAAUUUCUUACCAUAACAAAGACGAAGACUUGAUAGAAUCAUGACUAAAGUGCCGCGGGAAAGUCUACCAACACUGCAUCAUAAAAUAGUACCAAACGUAACUUGAAGUGUACACCCAUCUCUGUAACACCACUGAAGCUAACUCUCAGAGGGCUUUUGCUGAUUUCUGCAGCCCUUUUCUGUCGUUUUUCCCGGCAGAUGAUAUCAUAAAGCAAGGGGUAAGCUAAUUCCAAGAGAUCACGAGCACAACUAUUGUGUAAAAUAAAUUUCACAUGCAUGUGCCAUUCUUGUGGCAGGUAACUUGGAAGAGAUGACAUGUAGUAGUUAGUUACUGUUGUAUGAUUAAGAAGGAUAGAUCAGGAAAAGACACAAAUCACACCUACUUUAACCAGCUUGUGGAGUUUUAUUUACUCGUCCUUCAACAUAGAAUAUGGUAGUUGAUAAGAUUUAAUAAAAACUUUACAGAUCCAAUUAAUGAUACUUAUACAAAGUCUUAUGUGUUUGAGAGAGAAAAGAAGAAGAGAAAAAGAAGAGGAGGAAGAAAGGAGCGCAUAGGUCAGGAGGAAGAAGAGGAGG
Nicotiana tabacum (common tobacco) is the source of this 809-nucleotide non-coding RNA. The record is from RefSeq and is a predicted model, not a curated record. NCBI's taxonomy places the organism in Eukaryota, Viridiplantae, Streptophyta, Magnoliopsida, Solanales, Solanaceae.